UUUAUGGAGAGUUUGAUCCUGGCUCAGGAUGAACGCUGGCGGCGUGCCUAAUACAUGCAAGUCGAGCGAACGGACGAGAAGCUUGCUUCUCUGAUGUUAGCGGCGGACGGGUGAGUAACACGUGGAUAACCUACCUAUAAGACUGGGAUAACUUCGGGAAACCGGAGCUAAUACCGGAUAAUAUUUUGAACCGCAUGGUUCAAAAGUGAAAGACGGUCUUGCUGUCACUUAUAGAUGGAUCCGCGCUGCAUUAGCUAGUUGGUAAGGUAACGGCUUACCAAGGCAACGAUGCAUAGCCGACCUGAGAGGGUGAUCGGCCACACUGGAACUGAGACACGGUCCAGACUCCUACGGGAGGCAGCAGUAGGGAAUCUUCCGCAAUGGGCGAAAGCCUGACGGAGCAACGCCGCGUGAGUGAUGAAGGUCUUCGGAUCGUAAAACUCUGUUAUUAGGGAAGAACAUAUGUGUAAGUAACUGUGCACAUCUUGACGGUACCUAAUCAGAAAGCCACGGCUAACUACGUGCCAGCAGCCGCGGUAAUACGUAGGUGGCAAGCGUUAUCCGGAAUUAUUGGGCGUAAAGCGCGCGUAGGCGGUUUUUUAAGUCUGAUGUGAAAGCCCACGGCUCAACCGUGGAGGGUCAUUGGAAACUGGAAAACUUGAGUGCAGAAGAGGAAAGUGGAAUUCCAUGUGUAGCGGUGAAAUGCGCAGAGAUAUGGAGGAACACCAGUGGCGAAGGCGACUUUCUGGUCUGUAACUGACGCUGAUGUGCGAAAGCGUGGGGAUCAAACAGGAUUAGAUACCCUGGUAGUCCACGCCGUAAACGAUGAGUGCUAAGUGUUAGGGGUUUCCGCCCUUAGUGCUGCAGCUAACGCAUUAAGCACUCCGCCUGGGGAGUACGACCGCAAGGUUGAAACUCAAAGGAAUUGACGGGGACCCGCACAAGCGGUGGAGCAUGUGGUUUAAUUCGAAGCAACGCGAAGAACCUUACCAAAUCUUGACAUCCUUUGACAACUCUAGAGAUAGAGCUUUCCCUUCGGGGACAAAGUGACAGGUGGUGCAUGGUUGUCGUCAGCUCGUGUCGUGAGAUGUUGGGUUAAGUCCCGCAACGAGCGCAACCCUUAAGCUUAGUUGCCAUCAUUAAGUUGGGCACUCUAAGUUGACUGCCGGUGACAAACCGGAGGAAGGUGGGGAUGACGUCAAAUCAUCAUGCCCCUUAUGAUUUGGGCUACACACGUGCUACAAUGGACAAUACAAAGGGCAGCGAAACCGCGAGGUCAAGCAAAUCCCAUAAAGUUGUUCUCAGUUCGGAUUGUAGUCUGCAACUCGACUACAUGAAGCUGGAAUCGCUAGUAAUCGUAGAUCAGCAUGCUACGGUGAAUACGUUCCCGGGUCUUGUACACACCGCCCGUCACACCACGAGAGUUUGUAACACCCGAAGCCGGUGGAGUAACCUUUUAGGAGCUAGCCGUCGAAGGUGGGACAAAUGAUUGGGGUGAAGUCGUAACAAGGUAGCCGUAUCGGAAGGUGCGGCUGGAUCACCUCCUUUCU
Molecule: ribosomal RNA, 1550 nt
Filed under: Staphylococcus aureus
Lineage: Bacteria; Bacillati; Bacillota; Bacilli; Caryophanales; Staphylococcaceae
Description: 16S ribosomal RNA
Rfam family: Bacterial small subunit ribosomal RNA
Source: RNAcentral